Long non-coding RNA from Saccostrea cuccullata (small rock oyster), 1753 nucleotides. RefSeq lists it as uncharacterized. Lineage: Eukaryota; Metazoa; Mollusca; Bivalvia; Ostreida; Ostreidae. The record is from RefSeq and is a predicted model, not a curated record. The transcript is spliced from 3 exons.
CACCAACUUGUAGUGCUCACGUUGUACAGGAGCCUAAAAGUACUUUCCUCUACUUCGAUUUAGAGACAACUGGUUUAGGCACAGAAUCCAGCAUAGUGGAACUUGCUUGUGUCUGCAAGGAUAACAUCUUUCACAGAGUUGUGUGUCAUCCUUAAGCUUGGUAAUGUAUGGUAUAUGAAUGUAAGUAUUACUUCUUUGCUCUGUGCACCAACUGAUAAUUACUGUAAGUAUCUUUUGUGUUGUGUCAUUGUUUUUACUAUAUGUGUGUCUGUGUCGGACUAUCCAUGUUGUGUGCUUUAUAAUUCUGCUUAAUCCUUCUCUCUUUUUAUGUUUUUUAGCUCACCUGAGCCGAAGGCUCAAGUGAGCUUUUCUGAUCACAUUUUGUCCGGCGUCCGUCUGUCUGUCUGUCUGUCUGUCUGUCUGUCUGUCUGUCUGUCUGUCUGUCCGUCUGUCUGUCUGUCUGUAAACUUUUCACAUUUUCGACUUCUUCUCAAGAACCGCUGGGCCAAUUUCAACCAAACUUGCCACAAAGUAUCUUUGGGUGAAGGGGAUUCAAGUUUGUUCAAAUGAAGAGCCACGCGCUCAUUCAAAGGGAGAUAAUUGGGAACUAAUGAAAAUUUAGUGGCAUAUUUUAAAAAAUCUUCUUCUCAAGAACCACUGUGCCAGGAAAGAUGAAACUUAUGGGGAAUCAUGCUCAGGUAGAGUAGAUUCAGAUUUGUUCAAAUCAUGACCCCUGGGGGAAGGGCGGGGCUAAAAUGGCCGACCAAAGUUUUACAUAGAAAUAUAUAGGAAAAUUCUUUAAAAAUCUUCUUCUCAAGAAUGACAAAGCCAUAAUUCAUUAUAUUUAUAUGGAAGCAUGUUCAGGUAGUGUAGAUUCAAGUUUGUUCAAAUCAUGACCCCCCGGGGUAGGGCGGGGCCAAAAUGGCCGACCAAAGUUUUACAUAGAAAUAUAUAGGAAAAUUCUUUAAAAAUCUUCUUCUCAAGAAUGACAAAGCCAUAAUUCAUCAUAUUUAUAUGGAAGCAUGUUCAGGUAGUGUAGAUUUAAAUUUGUUCAAAUCAUGACCCCUGGGGGUCGAGGGGGGCCAAAAUGGCCGACCAAAGUUUUACAUAGAAAUAUAUAGGAAAAUUCUUUAAACAUCUUCUUCUCAAGAAUGACAAAGCCAUAAUUCAUCAUAUUUAUAUGGAAGCAUGCUCAGGUAGUGUAGAUUCAAGUUUGUUCAAAUCAUGACCCCCCGGGUGUAGCGUGGGGCCAAAAUGGCCGACCAAAGUUUUACAUAGAAAUAUAUAGGAAAAUUCUUUAAACAUCUUCUUCUCAAGAAUGACAAAGCCAUAAUUCCUCAUAUUUAUAUGGAAGCAUGCUCAAGUAGUGUAGAAUCAAAUUUGUUCAAAUCAUGACCCCAGGGGUAGAGCGGGGCCAAAAUGGCCGACCAAAGUUUUUAAAGAUAUAUAUAGGAAAAUUCUUCAAAAAUCAUUUUCUAAAAAAUAGCAAAUCCAUGAUUGGUCAUGGGACUACUUUUGGAUUUAAACUUUACAAUAAAAAGCCAUUUUCUACUUUUUCCUACCCUUAGUGCUCAUUUGAGCGAUGUGGCCCAUGGCAGGGGUAGACAAAUACAAUUUUGCAGUACUUGCCCUCGGACAGGUUACUAUCGUAAAACUACCUGUCCUACCAAAAAAUAUGCUUGUCCCACCUUUUUACCGGCCGCCAGGAGGCGGUCUGUUAGUUGAUAUGAAAGUUUCAAGUGGCCGUGCGUUU